Molecule: small nuclear RNA, 99 nt
Organism: Halichondria panicea
Lineage: Eukaryota; Metazoa; Porifera; Demospongiae; Suberitida; Halichondriidae
Source: RefSeq, a predicted model, not a curated record
UUAGCUUCGGCACUAGAUAUACUAAAUUUGGAACAAUACAGAGAGCAUGGCCCCCUGCGCAAGGAUGACACGCAAAUUCGUGAAGUGUUCCACAUUUUU